This 301-nucleotide ribosomal RNA is filed under the name uncultured bacterium. Its description in RNAcentral is "partial 16S ribosomal RNA". It matches the Rfam family "Bacterial small subunit ribosomal RNA", at positions 509 to 807 of the family's 1533-position model. The record is from RNAcentral.
CAGCCGCCUCGGGAAUACAGAGGGUGCGAGCGUUAAUCGGAUUUACUGGGCGUAAAGCGUGCGUAGGCGGCUUUUUAAGUCGGAUGUGAAAUCCCUGAGCUUAACUUAGGAAUUGCAUUCGAUACUGGGAAGCUAGAGUAUGGGAGAGGAUGGUAGAAUUCCAGGUGUAGCGGUGAAAUGCGUAGAGAUCUGGAGGAAUACCGAUGGCGAAGGCAGCCAUCUGGCCUAAUACUGACGCUGAGGUACGAAAGCAUGGGGAGCAAACAGGAUUAGAUACCCCCGUAGUCCCUGUCUCUUAUAC